UACGAGAGGCCCAAACGUUAUUCGGAUUUACUGGGCUUAAAGAGUUUGUAGGCGGUUCGGUAAGUGAGAUGUGAAAGCCCUCGGCUCAACCGAGGAAUUGCGUUUCAAACUGCCGGGCUCGAGGGAGAUAGAGGUGAGCGGAACUGAUGGUGGAGCGGUGAAAUGCGUUGAUAUCAUCAGGAACACCAGUGGCGAAGGCGGCGAUCUGGGUCGAUACUGACGCUGAGGUGCGAAAGCGUGGGGAGCAAACAGG
This 253-nucleotide ribosomal RNA is filed under the name uncultured bacterium. Its description in RNAcentral is "partial 16S ribosomal RNA". It matches the Rfam family "Bacterial small subunit ribosomal RNA", at positions 524 to 776 of the family's 1533-position model. The record is from RNAcentral.